UACGUAGGUGGCAAGCGUUGUCCGGAAUUACUGGGUGUAAAGGGAGCGCAGGCGGGAAGCCAAGUCAGCUGUGAAAACUACGGGCUUAAUUUGUAGACUGCAGUUGAAACUGGUUUUCUUGAGUGAAGUAGAGGUUGGCGGAAUUCCGAGUGUAGCGGUGAAAUGCGUAGAUAUUCGGAGGAACACCGGUGGCGAAGGCGGCCAACUGGGCUUUAACUGACGCUGAGGCUCGAAAGUGUGGGGAGCAAACAGG
This 253-nucleotide ribosomal RNA is filed under the name uncultured bacterium. RNAcentral's name for it is "partial 16S ribosomal RNA". It matches the Rfam family "Bacterial small subunit ribosomal RNA", at positions 524 to 776 of the family's 1533-position model. The record is from RNAcentral.